Molecule: non-coding RNA, 684 nt
Organism: Ciona intestinalis (vase tunicate)
Lineage: Eukaryota; Metazoa; Chordata; Ascidiacea; Phlebobranchia; Cionidae
Source: RefSeq, a predicted model, not a curated record
GAGUUUUUCGCGAACCUGCUCUACUGAAAUAAAAUAUUGCUCCACGUCCACUUCAUAUAGAACAAAAAAUGGAAUAACAACCGACGAAACCAGAAGGAGGUGCGGCUUUAGCUAUAAUGGAGCCUCGGAAGUGGCUUACGGCAACAUAGUAUACUCGUAGUAAACCAUAUUGUUGUUACUUAUAUAUACUACACCUCGUACUGAUGCUCCACAGAUAAUUGCAACGCUGGAACUAUUCCAAACACUGGAAUACCGGGAUGUGGAAACUCUUCUGGCGUUGUAGAAGAGACGACUAACUCUCCAUCUACAAAAGACGAUUCAAGCUCUACUGCAGCCAUAACACCGAAUGUUGAUACCGGUGUAGAAACAACUAGCUCUGCUGUAAAGAUUGCUAGAGGUUACUUCAUAGCAUUAUCCAUGUUGGCUGCUUUACUUGCAGUUCAAAAUCUUAUGUAACAACUAGGUCGAAACAAAAUAUUGAUGUGCCUGUUUAGUAUUAUGAGAACUUUAAUGUUGCUAAAACUGUAAUAUUGUGUACUCACUUUCUUCUGCCGUCGCUGAUUGAAAUACCAUGUGUCUUGUAAGAUUACAAAAGGUUCAGUUCUUUGGGCCCCAACCCAAUGAUGAUGAAUGGUAUGCCCAAACUGCUAAACAAAAGUUAUAACAGAACAAUAAAAAAUAACG